AUUGAACGCUGGCGGCAUGCCUUACACAUGCAAGUCGAACGGCAGCACGGGAGCUUGCUCCUGGUGGCGAGUGGCGAACGGGUGAGUAAUACAUCGGAACGUACCCAGUAGUGGGGGAUAACGCACCGAAAGGUGCGCUAAUACCGCAUACGACCUAUGGGUGAAAGCGGGGGACCGUAAGGCCUCGCGCUAUUGGAGCGGCCGAUGUCUGAUUAGCUAGUUGGCGGGGUAAAGGAGCACCAAGGCGACGAUCAGUAGCUGGUCUGCGAGGACGAUCCGCCACACUGGGAAUGAGACACGGCCCAGACACCUGCGGGAGGCAGCAGUGGGGAAUUUUGGACAAUGGGGGCAAUCCUGAUCCAGCAAUGCCGCGUGUGCGACGAAGGCCUUAGGGUUGUAAAGCACUUAUGUCAGGGAAGAAAUCGUUUGGGCUAAUACCCCGGAAGGAUGACGGUACCUGAAGAAUAAGCACCGGCUAACUACGUGCGAGCCGCCGCAGUAA
RNAcentral lists this ribosomal RNA (502 nucleotides) under uncultured bacterium. RNAcentral describes it as "partial 16S ribosomal RNA". It matches the Rfam family "Bacterial small subunit ribosomal RNA", at positions 29 to 523 of the family's 1533-position model. The record is from RNAcentral.